Molecule: long non-coding RNA, 291 nt
Filed under: Oryza brachyantha (malo sina)
Lineage: Eukaryota; Viridiplantae; Streptophyta; Magnoliopsida; Poales; Poaceae
Description: long non-coding RNA (OBRA_LNC003063)
Source: RNAcentral
UUUAAUUUUUGUUUUAACAGUUCUUGGGGGCAAUUCUUCUAAAAGGAGGUAAUCAAUCACACUGAGUUGACUGAUGACCUACAGCUCUGAAGGAGGAUGAACAAGCAGUAACUUUGACAACCUCACCCAAAGAGCAGACUGGAAGAUCAAACAUGUAUCAGUUCUACCGCUAGAAGAGUCGCAAUUUCAUCUUCCUUGAGACCUCCCAUGUCUAUGUAAGAAACUGUAACGUCUCCAAGAAAACCCUGUGCUUUGCUAACAGCUAUGUUGUCCUCUCCCUCUCUCUCAAUU